GCGCCCGUAGCUCAGUUGGAUAGAGCAACGGCCUUCUAAGCCGUGGGUCGCAGGUUCGAAUCCUGCCGGGCGUACCA
RNAcentral lists this transfer RNA (77 nucleotides) under Shewanella xiamenensis. Its description in RNAcentral is "tRNA-Arg". It matches the Rfam family "tRNA". From Rfam's summary of the family: Transfer RNA (tRNA) molecules are approximately 80 nucleotides in length. Their secondary structure includes four short double-helical elements and three loops (D, anti-codon, and T loops). The record is from RNAcentral. Lineage: Bacteria; Pseudomonadati; Pseudomonadota; Gammaproteobacteria; Alteromonadales; Shewanellaceae. RNAcentral also lists the same sequence under 2 other names.